AUGAAGGACGAACUCGGACCAAGUUGGGCAUCUGAGAGGCUUCAGCUCGUCCCUUCUUCCCAACAAGCCCCCCGACCUGGGAGACAGACAGAGGCAGGCCACUAUUCCUGGCCUCUUCUAGAAACUCACACUUUAGGCGAUGCAACCCAAGAGCCCUGGGAGAUCCCACGGAAGAGCAGAGGCAGAAGUCCUGGUCAGGCUGCAGUGAAGCCUCCAUCACGACAUCCCCGUAUCCUCCCAGAGCAACCCCAACGGAUGUGACUGCACUUCAGCGUUGGCUUCUUUGGGAGCUCCUGCAGACAAAGUUGGCGAGAGAACCGGAAUUGCUUGAUUCUCAACAUGUAAGUAAUUAUCAUCCUGCUUUCAGUUCUGUUCAAAGGGAAAGGCACGCCCCUCCUAUUUUAGAAGUGUACACUAUGGACAGCUCAACUCUAUGGGCUAUAGAAAGUUUCUUAUCUUUUAGCCCUACAGAAAACAUCCCUCUUCCAACGCAAGUCUUGCUCUUCACCGAGGCACUCGUUUCACCAUAAAGGAGAUCGGAAACUAAACCAUUUCCCGGGUUUUACAUUGCUUCUCUUAAGCUGAGUUGCCCCACAAUAUUGAGCGCCAGAAAGGGUCCAUUUCUGGACUGGGUUUCCCCUCUCCUAGCACCCACGUCUGUAAAGAAUCAGAAGC
Molecule: long non-coding RNA, 675 nt
Filed under: Monodelphis domestica (gray short-tailed opossum)
Lineage: Eukaryota; Metazoa; Chordata; Mammalia; Didelphimorphia; Didelphidae
Description: lncRNA (ENSMODG00000034764.2)
Source: RNAcentral